GCGGUAUUUAGAAAUCUAAUUCAAUGCUCUACUUGAAAAUCUCUGAUCAUGCUUUUGGAUCAGAGCUUUUCUCAAAUAUUACAUCCUUUCUAGGAUUGUAUUUAUUUGCAAAAGCAUUUCCUUAGAAGUUUUAAAACUGUUUAAUAUAUUCAUUCUUUGUUUUUAUAGGCAUACUGAGUAAAGCCCAUAUUUUCAAUUUCAUAUACAUGUCUGCCAGGAAAAAAAUUGUUUUCAGCAUGGGACACAUCUUCUGUAAUGACUCCUUGUCAAAUAUGUACUCUUCAAAAUAAAGUACAAAAAGUUGUGAGUUUUCCAAUCUUAGAGGAAAAGAAUAGAGGAAAUGGUGCAAUUCACACACCUGCAGAAACUCCAGGUGUGGUUGA
RNAcentral lists this long non-coding RNA (383 nucleotides) under Homo sapiens (human). RNAcentral's name for it is "non-protein coding lnc-USP53-5:1". Lineage: Eukaryota; Metazoa; Chordata; Mammalia; Primates; Hominidae. The record is from RNAcentral.